ACAUUCACUUGGUUUAUUCGCCGUUAUUAGUGUAUCAAAAAGGUGUGUCUGUCUUGCUUCCAAUUUAUAGUCACUCACGAUCCUUGAUAAUUUAUGGAUGAUAAUCUAACGUUAGCGUAGCAAUUUAUUUAAACAAGCAGACAUAAAUCGAAACUGUAAACUUUGAGUGACAGUGACAAUAGUCUUGCGAGAUAAAUUAAUUGACUUUGCCGUGAGUUGUUAUUCAGUCAGUUUUCUUCGCUCUUUCGGAAGUGCACCUACACACUUUUUCCAAGUUUUGCUACACACAAAAAAAAUCAUAAUAACUUAACGAAUGGUGAUGCGUCACAUAUGCCAAUCUCAUUCUGCUGUUCAUGCAUGUAUUGGCCGUGUCGUUGUCUUGGGGUAGACACACAUGUAAAAUUCUCAUUCAUUCAUAUUGCGCAUAUCUUUUUCUUAGCACGCUUACUUAAAACAUUCCAAAAGUCAUCCGAAUUAUUUUCACUAAUGUGUCCAACUUCGCAGCAUCCUUGCAAUUUGUUCUGACAAAUUAUGCACAAUAAUGUCAUAAGAAUGGGCGCUUAUGCAGAUAAUUUUUUUGUGAAACCACCAUAUUUUCGGGUAAACCGUGAAGUUUAAGUUUUGCCCAGAAUGAGUUAUUUCAUUCUUUUACUCAUAUGUAGACUAGGCAAUAAUUUUUUCGGCAUAAUGAUAUACAGCAAGUAAUGUGCUUCCUCUAAUGACUUCCGAAUUUGGGAGUAUAAAACCCUGAGAAUUGCAUCCAAUUGCACCAGUCCAAGAGUUGUACAAUUGAAUUUAUACAAAAAUUCGAACCACUUCUGGUCGCAUUAUUUUAUUUUAGUUUUAAAUUGGUCAUCAGGCCAUGAAUAACUAUAAACUUCUUGUCGCGUUUUCAUUAACGACAACAUCUCUUUAUGUCAUUGCAACUUCUGUUCCUGAGCAUGACUCGCGAAAGCUCACUGGUGACACUUCUUCACUCAUCCCGAGUUCUCGGAAAGGUCGGGGUAGCCUGUCUGGGGGGAAAAGUGUGGUCGUGAUUCCCACAGGAGAUGCUAGAAUUCUACCCAAAAUAUAUCUCACCGCUGGCGUGGCUACCUCUUCCAAAGUUAAAGGUGGCGGAGGUUCGCUAUUUUUCUUUAAAA
Folsomia candida is the source of this 1142-nucleotide RNA transcript. RefSeq lists it as uncharacterized. The transcript has 3 exons. Lineage: Eukaryota; Metazoa; Arthropoda; Collembola; Entomobryomorpha; Isotomidae. The record is from RefSeq and is a predicted model, not a curated record.